AAGUCGUAACAAGGUUUCCGUAGGUGAACCUGCGGAAGGAUCAUUAGCGAGAGCCUGCCACCGGUGAUAUGAGCUGGUGUGCAAGCGCGCCAUCCUUGUGUUGUGUGUUUGGUGUUGUGUGUGCGCAUGCGCUUGCCGCGUGUGCACACGCGCAUUUUUCUCACUCUAUUCAUUCAUGUCUGAUCAUCAUGCCCGCAUGGGCACAAACAACCGAAAACUGCCAGCAAUGGAUCACUCGGUUCUC
RNAcentral lists this unclassified non-coding RNA (244 nucleotides) under fungal sp. Its description in RNAcentral is "partial internal transcribed spacer region". The stretch from base 1 to 46 matches the Rfam family "Eukaryotic small subunit ribosomal RNA", at positions 1786 to 1831 of the family's 1831-position model. Lineage: Eukaryota; Fungi. The record is from RNAcentral.